GACGAACGCUGGCGGCGUGCUUAACACAUGCAAGUCGAACGGUAAGGCCCUUCGGGGUACACGAGUGGCGAACGGGUGAGUAACACGUGGGUGAUCUGCCCUGCACUUCGGGAUAAGACUGGGAAACUGGGUCUAAUACCGGAUAGGACCACUGCCUGCAUGGGUGGCGGUGGAAAGCUUUUGCGGUGUGGGAUGGGCGCGCGGCCUAUCAGCUUGUGGGUGGGGUGAUGGCCUACCAAGGCGACGACGGGUAGCCGGCCUGAGAGGGUGACCGGCCACACUGGGACUGAGAUACGGCCCAGACUCCUACGGGAGGCAGCAGUGGGGAAUAUUGCACAAUGGGCGCAAGCCUGAUGCAGCGACGCCGCGUGAGGGAUGACGGCCUUCGGGUUGUAGACCUCUUUCAGCACCGACGAAGCGCAAGUGACGGUAGGUGCAGAAGAAGGACCGGCCAACUACGUGCCAGCCGCCGCAGUAA
This 478-nucleotide ribosomal RNA is filed under the name uncultured bacterium. RNAcentral describes it as "partial 16S ribosomal RNA". It matches the Rfam family "Bacterial small subunit ribosomal RNA", at positions 28 to 523 of the family's 1533-position model. The record is from RNAcentral.